RNAcentral lists this ribosomal RNA (492 nucleotides) under uncultured bacterium. RNAcentral's name for it is "partial 16S ribosomal RNA". It matches the Rfam family "Bacterial small subunit ribosomal RNA", at positions 29 to 507 of the family's 1533-position model. The record is from RNAcentral.
AGUGAACGCUGGCGGUAGGCCUAACACAUGCAAGUCGAACGGCAGCACAGUAAGAGCUUGCUCUUACGGGUGGCGAGUGGCGGACGGGUGAGGGAUACAUCGGAAUCUACUUUUUCGUGGGGGAUAACGUAGGGAAACUUACGCUAAUACCGCAUACGACCUACGGGUGAAAGCAGGGGAUCUUCGGACCUUGCGCGAUUGAAUGAGCCGAUGUCGGAUUAGCUAGUUGGCGGGGUAAAGGCCCACCAAGGCGACGAUCCGUAGCUGGUCUGAGAGGAUGAUCAGCCACACUGGAACUGAGACACGGUCCAGACUCCUACGGGAGGCAGCAGUGGGGAAUAUUGGACAAUGGGCGCAAGCCUGAUCCAGCCAUACCGCGUGGGUGAAGAAGGCCUUCGGGUUGUAAAGCCCUUUUGUUGGGAAAGAAAAGCAGCAGGUUAAUACCCCGCUGUUCUGACGGUAACCAAAGAAUAAGCACCGGCUAACUUCGUG